RNAcentral lists this ribosomal RNA (2773 nucleotides) under Escherichia coli. Its description in RNAcentral is "bacterial LSU rRNA". It matches the Rfam family "Bacterial large subunit ribosomal RNA". Lineage: Bacteria; Pseudomonadati; Pseudomonadota; Gammaproteobacteria; Enterobacterales; Enterobacteriaceae. The record is from RNAcentral.
AGCGUACACGGUGGAUGCCCUGGCAGUCAGAGGCGAUGAAGGACGUGCUAAUCUGCGAUAAGCGUCGGUGAGGUGAUAUGAACCGUUAUAACCGGCGAUUUCCGAAUGGGGAAACCCAGUGUGAUUCGUCACACUAUCAUUAACUGAAUCCAUAGGUUAAUGAGGCGAACCGGGGGAACUGAAACAUCUAAGUACCCCGAGGAAAAGAAAUCAACCGAGAUUCCCCCAGUAGCGGCGAGCGAACGGGGAGGAGCCCAGAGCCUGAAUCAGUGUGUGUGUUAGUGGAAGCGUCUGGAAAGGCGCGCGAUACAGGGUGACAGCCCCGUACACAAAAAUGCACAUAUUGUGAGCUCGAUGAGUAGGGCGGGACACGUGGUAUCCUGUCUGAAUAUGGGGGGACCAUCCUCCAAGGCUAAAUACUCCUGACUGACCGAUAGUGAACCAGUACCGUGAGGGAAAGGCGAAAAGAACCCCGGCGAGGGGAGUGAAAAAGAACCUGAAACCGUGUACGUACAAGCAGUGGGAGCCUCUUAAUGGGGUGACUGCGUACCUUUUGUAUAAUGGGUCAGCGACUUAUAUUCUGUAGCAAGGUUAACCGAAUAGGGGAGCCGAAGGGAAACCGAGUCUUAACUGGGCGUUAAGUUGCAGGGUAUAGACCCGAAACCCGGUGAUCUAGCCAUGGGCAGGUUGAAGGUUGGGUAACACUAACUGGAGGACCGAACCGACUAAUGUUGAAAAAUUAGCGGAUGACUUGUGGCUGGGGGUGAAAGGCCAAUCAAACCGGGAGAUAGCUGGUUCUCCCCGAAAGCUAUUUAGGUAGCGCCUCGUGAAUUCAUCUCCGGGGGUAGAGCACUGUUUCGGCAAGGGGGUCAUCCCGACUUACCAACCCGAUGCAAACUGCGAAUACCGGAGAAUGUUAUCACGGGAGACACACGGCGGGUGCUAACGUCCGUCGUGAAGAGGGAAACAACCCAGACCGCCAGCUAAGGUCCCAAAGUCAUGGUUAAGUGGGAAACGAUGUGGGAAGGCCCAGACAGCCAGGAUGUUGGCUUAGAAGCAGCCAUCAUUUAAAGAAAGCGUAAUAGCUCACUGGUCGAGUCGGCCUGCGCGGAAGAUGUAACGGGGCUAAACCAUGCACCGAAGCUGCGGCAGCGACACUAUGUGUUGUUGGGUAGGGGAGCGUUCUGUAAGCCUGUGAAGGUGGCCUGUGAGGGUUGCUGGAGGUAUCAGAAGUGCGAAUGCUGACAUAAGUAACGAUAAAGCGGGUGAAAAGCCCGCUCGCCGGAAGACCAAGGGUUCCUGUCCAACGUUAAUCGGGGCAGGGUGAGUCGACCCCUAAGGCGAGGCCGAAAGGCGUAGUCGAUGGGAAACAGGUUAAUAUUCCUGUACUUGGUGUUACUGCGAAGGGGGGACGGAGAAGGCUAUGUUGGCCGGGCGACGGUUGUCCCGGUUUAAGCGUGUAGGCUGGUUUUCCAGGCAAAUCCGGAAAACCAAGGCUGAGGCGUGAUGACGAGGCACUACGGUGCUGAAGCGACAAAUGCCCUGCUUCCAGGAAAAGCCUCUAAGCAUCAGGUAACAUCAAAUCGUACCCCAAACCGACACAGGUGGUCAGGUAGAGAAUACCAAGGCGCUUGAGAGAACUCGGGUGAAGGAACUAGGCAAAAUGGUGCCGUAACUUCGGGAGAAGGCACGCUGAUAUGUAGGUGAAGCGACUUGCUCGUGGAGCUGAAAUCAGUCGAAGAUACCAGCUGGCUGCAACUGUUUAUUAAAAACACAGCACUGUGCAAACACGAAAGUGGACGUAUACGGUGUGACGCCUGCCCGGUGCCGGAAGGUUAAUUGAUGGGGUUAGCGGUAACGCGAAGCUCUUGAUCGAAGCCCCGGUAAACGGCGGCCGUAACUAUAACGGUCCUAAGGUAGCGAAAUUCCUUGUCGGGUAAGUUCCGACCUGCACGAAUGGCGUAAUGAUGGCCAGGCUGUCUCCACCCGAGACUCAGUGAAAUUGAACUCGCUGUGAAGAUGCAGUGUACCCGCGGCAAGACGGAAAGACCCCGUGAACCUUUACUAUAGCUUGACACUGAACAUUGAGCCUUGAUGUGUAGGAUAGGUGGGAGGCUUUGAAGUGUGGACGCCAGUCUGCAUGGAGCCGACCUUGAAAUACCACCCUUUAAUGUUUGAUGUUCUAACGUGGGCCCCUGAUCGGGGUUGCGGACAGUGUCUGGUGGGUAGUUUGACUGGGGCGGUCUCCUCCUAAAGAGUAACGGAGGAGCACGAAGGUUGGCUAAUCCUGGUCGGACAUCAGGAGGUUAGUGCAAUGGCAUAAGCCAGCUUGACUGCGAGCGUGACGGCGCGAGCAGGUGCGAAAGCAGGUCAUAGUGAUCCGGUGGUUCUGAAUGGAAGGGCCAUCGCUCAACGGAUAAAAGGUACUCCGGGGAUAACAGGCUGAUACCGCCCAAGAGUUCAUAUCGACGGCGGUGUUUGGCACCUCGAUGUCGGCUCAUCACAUCCUGGGGCUGAAGUAGGUCCCAAGGGUAUGGCUGUUCGCCAUUUAAAGUGGUACGCGAGCUGGGUUUAGAACGUCGUGAGACAGUUCGGUCCCUAUCUGCCGUGGGCGCUGGAGAACUGAGGGGGGCUGCUCCUAGUACGAGAGGACCGGAGUGGACGCAUCACUGGUGUUCGGGUUGUCAUGCCAAUGGCACUGCCCGGUAGCUAAAUGCGGAAGAGAUAAGUGCUGAAAGCAUCUAAGCACGAAACUUGCCCCGAGAUGAGUUCU